This 253-nucleotide ribosomal RNA is filed under the name uncultured bacterium. Its description in RNAcentral is "partial 16S ribosomal RNA". It matches the Rfam family "Bacterial small subunit ribosomal RNA", at positions 524 to 776 of the family's 1533-position model. The record is from RNAcentral.
UACGAAGGGGGCUAGCGUUGCUCGGAAUCACUGGGCGUAAAGGGUGCGUAGGCGGGUCUUUAAGUCAGGGGUGAAAUCCUGGAGCUCAACUCCAGAACUGCCUUUGAUACUGAAGAUCUUGAGUUCGGGAGAGGUGAGUGGAACUGCGAGUGUAGAGGUGAAAUUGUGAGAUAUUCGCAAGAACACCAGUGGCGAAGGCGGCUCACUGGACCGGUACUGACGCUGAUGCGCGAAAGCGUGGGGAGCAAACGGG